UUGUUGUAGCAAUAUAACAUGAAAGUGGCGCACGGGUGCGUAACACGUAUGCAAUCUACCUUUAAUUGGAGCAUAGCCUCGAGAAAUCGGGAUUAAUACUCCAUAACAUAAUUAAGUGGCAUCACUUGAUUAUCAAACCUCCGGGGAUUAAAGAUGAGCAUGCGCAACAUUAGCUAGUUGGUAAGGUAACGGCUUACCAAGGCUACGAUGUUUAGGGGGUCUGAGAGGAUGAUCCCCCACACUGGUACUGAGACACGGACCAGACUCCUACGGGAGGCAGCAGUAGGGAAUAUUGGGCAAUGGAGGCAACUCUGACCCAGCCAUGCCGCGUGCAGGAUGACGGCCCUCUGGGUUGUAAACUGCUUUUAUACGGGAAGAAAAAAUACUACGUGUAGUAUACUGACGGUACCGUAAGAAUAAGGAUCGGCUAACUCCGUGCCAGCAGCCGCGGUAAUACGGAGGAUCCAAGCGUUGUCCGGAUUUAUUGGGUUUAAAGGGUGCGUAGGCGGAUCUUUAAGUCAGUGGUGAAAGCCUGCAGCUUAACUGUAGAACAGCCAUUGAAACUGAAGAUCUUGAAUGUGGUUAAAGUAGGCGGAAUGUAUCAUGUAGCGGUGAAAUGCUUAGAUAUGAUACAGAACACCGAUGCGAAGGCAGCUUGCUGAACCAUUAUUGACGCUGAGGCACGAAAGCGUGGGGAGCGAACAGGAUUAGAUACCCUGGUAGUCCACGCCCUAAACGUUGAUUACUCGUUGUUGGCGAUAUACUGUCAGCGACCAAGCUAAAGCGUUAAGUAAUCCACC
RNAcentral lists this ribosomal RNA (800 nucleotides) under uncultured Sphingobacteriia bacterium. RNAcentral's name for it is "bacterial SSU rRNA". It matches the Rfam family "Bacterial small subunit ribosomal RNA", at positions 71 to 873 of the family's 1533-position model. Lineage: Bacteria; Pseudomonadati; Bacteroidota; Sphingobacteriia. The record is from RNAcentral.